GACAGAGGGUGCAAGCGUUGUUCGGAUUUACUGGGCGUAAAGCGCGUGUAGGCGGCUUGGCAAGUUGGAUGUGAAGGCCCACGGCUCAACCGUGGAAGCGCAUCCAAAACUGCUUCGCUUGAGUCUCGGAGAGGAAGGUGGAAUGCUUGGUGUAGAGGUGAAAUUCGUAGAUAUCAAGCAGAACACCUGCGGCGAAGGCGGCCUUCUGGACGAUGACUGACGCUGAGACGCGAAAGCGUGGGGAGCAAACAGG
Molecule: ribosomal RNA, 253 nt
Filed under: uncultured bacterium
Lineage: Bacteria
Description: partial 16S ribosomal RNA
Rfam family: Bacterial small subunit ribosomal RNA
Source: RNAcentral